AUGAUUGAUAAGCUCUCUAGCAAGAUGAAGGGUUGGAAACCGAAGAUGUUGGCAAUGGCAGGCCAGCUCGCACUCACUUCAUCGAUCCUAAUGGCGCUGCCCAUGCACCUCAUGGCAGCGCUCCCACUGCCGGCAUGGGCAAUUAAGGCGAUCAAUCGCCGCUACCGUGGAUUUAUUUGGGAGGGGGAGGAGGAGAUUAGUGGUGGCCAUUGC
Molecule: ribosomal RNA, 213 nt
Filed under: Triticum aestivum (bread wheat)
Lineage: Eukaryota; Viridiplantae; Streptophyta; Magnoliopsida; Poales; Poaceae
Description: partial small subunit ribosomal RNA
Source: RNAcentral